GACGAACGCUGGCGGCGUGCUUAACACAUGCAAGUCGAACGGAAAGGCCCUGCUUUUGUGGGGUGCUCGAGUGGCGAACGGGUGAGUAACACGUGAGUAACCUGCCCUUGACUUUGGGAUAACUUCAGGAAACUGGGGCUAAUACCGGAUAGGAGCUCCUGCUGCAUGGUGGGGUUCGGAAAGUUUCGGCGGUUGGGGCUGGACUCGCGGCUUAUCAUCUUUUUGGUGGGGUAGUGGCUUACCAAGGCUUUGACGGGUAGCCGGCCUGAGAGGGUGACCGGCCACAUUGGGACUGGGGUACGGGCAGGACGGCUACGGGAGGCAGCGGUGGGGAACAGUGCAAGAUGGGCGGAAGGCGGAUGCAGGAACGCCGCGUGCGGGAUGACGGCCUUCGGGGAGUAACGAGCGUUCGCCUGUAACGAAGCGUGAGUGACGGUAAUGGGUAAAGAAGCACCGGCUAACUACGUG
This 468-nucleotide ribosomal RNA is filed under the name uncultured bacterium. RNAcentral's name for it is "partial 16S ribosomal RNA". It matches the Rfam family "Bacterial small subunit ribosomal RNA", at positions 28 to 507 of the family's 1533-position model. The record is from RNAcentral.